This 467-nucleotide ribosomal RNA is filed under the name uncultured bacterium. RNAcentral describes it as "partial 16S ribosomal RNA". It matches the Rfam family "Bacterial small subunit ribosomal RNA", at positions 28 to 507 of the family's 1533-position model. The record is from RNAcentral.
GACGAACGCUGGCGGCGUGCUUAACACAUGCAAGUCGAACGGAAAGGCUCCAGCUUGCUGGAGUACUCGAGUGGCGAACGGGUGAGUAACACGUGGGUAAUCUGCCCUGCACUCUGGGAUAAGCCUGGGAAACUGGGUCUAAUACUGGAUAUGACCUUUCUCCUUAUGGGGUUUGGUGGAAAGUUUUUCGGUGUAGGAUGAGCCCGCGGCCUAUCAGCUUGUUGGUGGGGUGAUGGCCUACCAAGGCGACGACGGGUAGCCGGCCUGAGAGGGUGAUCGGCCACAUUGGGACUGAGAUACGGCCCAGACUCCUACGGGAGGCAGCAGUGGGGAAUAUUGCACAAUGGGCGGAAGCCUGAUGCAGCGACGCCGCGUGAGGGAUGACGGCCUUCGGGUUGUAAACCUCUCUCAGCAGGGACGAAGCGUAAGUGACGGUACCUGCAGAAGAAGCACCGGCUAACUAUGUG